This 2125-nucleotide long non-coding RNA is filed under the name Mus caroli (Ryukyu mouse). RNAcentral's name for it is "RIKEN cDNA 4933435G04 gene (MGP_CAROLIEiJ_G0006557.1)". The record is from RNAcentral. Lineage: Eukaryota; Metazoa; Chordata; Mammalia; Rodentia; Muridae.
CACAGAACCUGUUGGCCUUGACUGCAAGUUUUGAGUCAAAGAACCUUGGGACUCAAGGUUUGGAUGGGUGAGGGUGGGGGAAUGGUUCUGAAUGGAAAUCCAGAAUGAUGAGGCCUCUGACCCCAGGGAGCUCUUUCUUCAGUCCUGGGCCUCAUUUUGGGUAUGAAUGUCAUAUGUUUUCUGCUGAUAGAAUAUGACUCCUACCAUAUAUACCCCCAUAAGUCUGCCAUGGAAAUGAAAGUACAGUCUCAAAGCACUGAACUCAGAGAAGCACCGCCCUUGACUCAGAGAAGGAAGACACACGGAAGUGUGACUGUCAGUUACCAGAGAAAACUUUUUAACGUAGGCCUUGCCAAAAGAUGAAGGUCUCAGAUGGCUGUUUCACCCUUUAGUCUUUGGGGUUUUCUACAUAAGCUGAUUAGAAACACAGCUUCCAGACAAGACACACGCAUGUAACCCCGACAAGACACACGCUUGUAAUCCCAGAACUAGGGAGGUGUAAGCAAGAGGAUCAGGGCUUGGAGGCCAGCCUGGGCUAAAUGAGACACUAUCUGAAAUAAGAAUAAUAAAAUACUACUUCUUCCUGAAAAAAAAAUGCCAGACAGCCACCAACUGGAGUAUAUACAAGCCCUGCAAUGAGUUUCAUCAACAAAAGUGCAGAGAAUAGCCAGCUUGAGCUGUGCUUGAGCUGUGCUCUAGCUUGAGCUAGAGCUCACUACCCAGAGGCACCCGGGACAGGUUCCACAUGCUUGACACAGAGCCAGGAGUUCUGGAGCCAACUCAAAGUCUCUGUCCUCAGAAGAGCUCAAAAAAAAAAAUGCACUGGAAUAAAGUAGUCAAUGCCCACCCAAUACCCAAAGUACAAAAACUCCUUGCCUUGGACUCGCUGAGUCCAGAGUUCAGGCUGAGUCUUAAUGAUGCAGGAAGCAUUACAGACUGGGGACAGACAGCCACCUCCCUGCCAUUGGCAGAACAAUCGGAAGACAGAGACGAUGCAUAGGGGCCCAGAGGAUCCUGCUGGGCUCUAGGCUCAAUCAUUGCUCUGUGGAUUUGCAAUAUGGGCGUACAUUGUGCACAAACAAGCCUUGUAUGCUGCACAGCUUCAACCUUGCUUCUUGUGUGUCUCUUUGCAAUAUAAACUUAAAUAUAUACUUUAAUUUGCUCAGCCUACCAAGGACUGAUGGAGGAAUGGCUGAAGACAGCCGGAACACUUGAUGUGAAAAAAUUCUAUAGCUUGAAAGGAUGCCCAGAAAGGCUUCAGGGUGACCCAAAUAAGGACACAGGGCAAUACAUCUUAAAUCUUCUUUCCUCUGAUUCAGGAACAGAAUAUGGACCACCACUGCCAGCCAGCCAGCCAGCCAGCAGGAUCUUCAGCGCAGUACAUUCCCAGAAGUUUCUCCAGAGGGAAUAUCUGUGUGGUUCAGGGAUGUUUCAGGGCUGGCUCAGCCUUCCCCGUGUGUGCCAACCAAUAUAAUUAAAAAUGCAUCCAAAGUAAACCUCAGACAACUGAGCCCUCCGCUGCAACGUGGGGGGGGCGCUCACUGUCGGAGGGUGGUCACCCCGGUGGGCACAAACAUUGCCCCAGGUGCUCUGCAGCUGGCUGCAAAGACUCGUGAAAUUCUAUCCUUUCCAGUUCCCAGUGUGCUGGAGAGCAACCCUGAGAGGCCGGCUGGCAGCCCUGUCCCACCUGUGGAAACUAAUGAUACCAGCUCAGCAUAUUGGCAGAGGAAGGAAACUUGCACUACAACAGACCUACCGAAACAUUGGAAGUAUGUGCUUGACAGAAGCACAUUGAUUCAAGUCGCUCGAAGAUCAAAUUACUCUCCCAGCCCAGGUGAUUUUGUCCUAGAAGCCAGGAUAUUUGUAUCGACAAGAAUAUUGAUGAAAAACCACUCCCUGCAUCUCGGCGGACCAUAUUAAGGCUGUUAAUCUCGGAAGUGUCCCAUAAUUUUUAUCCGACAUGCAGACUCUUCAUUGGAAAGAGUUUUAACUCCAAUGCAAACAGUAAUAAGGAAAUAAAAUCACUGGUGUAUGUCUUUUCCAAUAUCGGUCUUGGUAAGAAUUCUUGACUUCUAUGCUCAAUUGAAGCUCAUCUUAAAUAAAAAGCUUUGUUUCUUCCAACAGA